GUGGGGAAUAUUGGACAAUGGGCGAAAGCCUGAUCCAGCCAUGCCGCGUGUGUGAAGAAGGUCUUCGGAUUGUAAAGCACUUUAAGUUGGGAGGAAGGGCAGUAAGUUAAUACCUUGCUGUUUUGACGUUACCGACAGAAUAAGCACCGGCUAACUUCGUGCAAGCAGCCGCGGUAAUACGAAGGGUGCAAGCGUUAAUCGGAAUUACUGGGCGUAAAGCGCGCGUAGGUGGUUUUGUAAGUUGGAGGUGAAAUCCCCGGGCUCAACCUGGGAACUGCCUCCAAAACUGCAUGACUAGAGUACGGUAGAGGGUAGUGGAAUUUCCUGUGUAGCGGUGAAAUGCGUAGAUAUAGGAAGGAACAACAGUGGCGAAGGCGACUACCUGGACUGAUACUGACACUGAGGUGCGAAAGCGUGGGGAGCAAACAGGAUUAGAUACCCCGGUAGUCC
Molecule: ribosomal RNA, 450 nt
Filed under: uncultured bacterium
Lineage: Bacteria
Description: partial 16S ribosomal RNA
Rfam family: Bacterial small subunit ribosomal RNA
Source: RNAcentral